AGUGAACGCUGGCGGUAGGCCUAACACAUGCAAGUCGAACGGCAUCAUCGUAAGAGCUUGCUCUUACGGGUGUCGCGUGGCGGACGGGUGAUGUAUACAUCGGAUUCCACUUUUUCGUUUGUGCUAACGUCGGGAAUCUUACUCUAAUACCGCAUACGACCUCCUUGUGAAAGCACGCGAUCUUCGGACCUUUCGCUAUUGUAUGAGCCAAUGUCGGAUUAGCUAGUUGGCGGGGUAAAGGCACACCAAGGCGACGAUCCGUAGCUGGUCUGAGAGGAUGAAUCGCCAGACUGGAAGAGAGAAACAGCACAGACACUGACAGGAGGAAGCAGUGGGGAAUAUUGGGCGAUGGGGGAAAGGCUGAUCCAGCCAUACCGCGGGAGGGAAGAAGGCGUUAGGGUUGUAAAGCGCUUUUGUUGGGAAAGAAAAGCAGCAGGUUAAUACCCCGCUGUUAUGACGGUACCCAAAGAAUAAGCACCGGCUAACUUCGUG
RNAcentral lists this ribosomal RNA (492 nucleotides) under uncultured bacterium. RNAcentral's name for it is "partial 16S ribosomal RNA". It matches the Rfam family "Bacterial small subunit ribosomal RNA", at positions 29 to 507 of the family's 1533-position model. The record is from RNAcentral.